UUAUUUAUUAUAUUAUAUUCUUUUUUUGUUAUUUUAUUUUUUAAUAAAAGAAAUUUUAUUUAGUUUUGUCUUAGUAUAUUUUAUAGAAUUGAUUUUUUUUAUUAUAGUUAAUUAGUAAUGUAAUUGGAUUAUUAAAUUAUUAUUUAAUUAUAAAAAGUAAAUUUAAUUUAUUGUACCUUUUGUAUCAGGGUUUAUUAAAUUUUUAGUACUUAUUUGCUAAUCUCGAUUUAGGUUGAUUUACAGUUAAUUUAUAUUUAAUGUAUUAUAAUUAUUUUUUAGUUAAUUGUAGAAAUGAAAUGUUAAUCGUUUCCUAAGAUAUCUAGUUUCUUAAGAAAAAGUUUAAUUUUUUAAAGUUAGUAGUUUCUUUUUACUUUAAUAAAUUGAAAUAUUAAUUUAUUUAUUAUUUAGGGGAUAAGCUCUAAAUCUUUCCUAUAAUCUUAUUUGUUAAAAUUAAAUAGUAAGCUUUAAAUCAGCUAUCUUUUAGAUUACGUUUUAGUUCAUUAUUUUUUAUUUUGAUUUUAUAAUUAAUUUAGGUUUUAUAUUAAGAUUGUUAAUUAAAUUUAAAAAUUAUUGUAAUAAUGAUAGAAUUAGUAUAUUAAUUUGUUUAUAAUAUUUUAUAUUGUUAAUUUAUUAUAAGGAAUUUGGCAAAAUUGAUUUCCGCCUGUUUAUCAAAAACAUGUCCUCUUGAUUAUAUUUUGAGGUCUAACCUGCUCACUGAUAAGGUUUUAAAGAGCCGCGGUAUUAUGACGUUGCAAAGGUAGCAUAAUCAUUAGUCUCUUAAUUAGGGGCUGGUAUGAAUGGUUUGACGAGAAAUCAUCUGUCUCUUAUUAAAUUAUAGAAUUUAACUUUUGAGUUAAAAGGCUUAAAUUUUUCUUUUAGACGAGAAGACCCUAUAGAGCUUAACAUUUUAUUUUAAUAUGAUUUUUGGUUAAUUUUUUUAUAUUUAAAGAUAAUGUUUUGUUGGGGUGACAUGAAGAAUAAAUAAACUCUUCAUAAUAAAAUCAUUAAUUUAUGUUUAUAUGAUCCAUAAUUUAUGAUCAUAAGAUUUAGUUACCUUAGGGAUAACAGCGUAAUUAUUUUUAAGAGCUCAUAUCGACAAAAUAGAUUGCGACCUCGAUGUUGGAUUAAGAAUAGUUUUGGGUGCAGAAGCCCAAUAAUUAGGUCUGUUCGACCCCUAAAUAAUACCCCCAUUUAGUUCUUACGGCGGGAACCCCCCCGUCUGUUUUUAUGAGUAAGUAAUUUUUUUUACAGUAGUACGAAAGCACCAUGUAACUAAAUUAUAUUUUAUUAUUAGUGAUUAAAUUUAAAUAUU
This 1312-nucleotide ribosomal RNA is filed under the name Qinlingacris elaeodes. RNAcentral's name for it is "16S ribosomal RNA". The record is from RNAcentral. Lineage: Eukaryota; Metazoa; Arthropoda; Insecta; Orthoptera; Acrididae.